GAUGAACGCUGGCGGCGUGCCUAAUACAUGCAAGUCGAGCGAACAGACGAGGAGCUUGCUCCUUUGACGUUAGCGGCGGACGGGUGAGUAACACGUAGGUAACCUACCUAUAAGACUGGGAUAACUUCGGGAAACCGGAGCUAAUACCGGAUAAUAUUUCGAACCGCAUGGUUCGAUAGUGAAAGAUGGCUUUGCUAUCACUUAUAGAUGGACCUGCGCCGUAUUAGCUAGUUGGUAAGGUAACGGCUUGCCAAGGCAACGAUACGUAGCCGACCUGAGAGGGUGAUCGGCCACACUGGAACUGAGACACGGUCCAGACUCCUACGGGAGGCAGCAGUAGGGAAUCUUCCGCAAUGGGCGAAAGCCUGACGGAGCAACGCCGCGUGAGUGAUGAAGGUCUUCGGAUCGUAAAACUCUGUUAUUAGGGAAGAACAAACGUGUAAGUAACUGUGCACGUCUUGACGGUACCUAAUCAGAAAGCCACGGCUAACUACGUG
This 497-nucleotide ribosomal RNA is filed under the name uncultured bacterium. RNAcentral describes it as "partial 16S ribosomal RNA". It matches the Rfam family "Bacterial small subunit ribosomal RNA", at positions 28 to 507 of the family's 1533-position model. The record is from RNAcentral.